CGUGGAAAGUCGGUCCCCAACCCAACCCCGCCAACUUUACGCUGGAAUCGGACUAUAAAUCAGCUUUUAUACGCGCGAUCUGAGGGGGCGAGUCGAUUUUCACGCGCGACACCGGCCAAACGAAACGAAAUUUUUACUUAUUCGCGCUUCUGACCGUGGCUGAAGGGAGGUUUUAAAAUAUGGCCUCGUCACUAACGCGCGAAAAAUAUCUAUUAGUCACAAUUAGAGUUACCGAAACUCUGGCAUUUUCGAAAAUUCGAACCGCUAGUAAGGAAGAACCCAAAUGCCCAACUUUUUCCAUAAAUAUUAUUUAUUGAGUGGUGGCGCUGGAAAGUCCGCUAAUGGCGGUCGACUCGAUUACGGUGGCCAUCCACGGGCUAAUUAUUAACAUAAUUUAACGUUACAUAUUAUAACAUUAUUUUAAAGGCUUAAAAAUGUUAUUAGCCAUGGUUACCAGGUUAUUUAUAGGAGUUCGUAGAGGAGUCUAGGUCUUUCUUUAAAGGGUUUAUUCGAUUUAAGUCGCCAGUCUUGGAACGAAUUAACCAACGUAAGGCGAGGUAUGAAGUACGACCGAUAAUCUAUUGUAGAUCGAUACUUGUCUUUAUUAAUAGUCAAUCUGUUUAGGCUAUUUAGUUAGAUAUGUCGAUUCACUCGAAAAUGGUGAUGAUUAUCCGCUUCUGUAUUAUCGUAUCGGUUAUCCGUGGCUCCUCAACUUCCACCUUCCAAUUUUCGUCCGAAAUAGAACUAACGUUAAAAAAUCGGCCAAAUUUGGCACCGCCAGUUUUAUCAAUCCUUUUUGAAUAUACCGUCUGCCGAUGUGUGAAAAGAUAUCUUCCUCCGAAACGAUUGAAAGAUCCAGAAAUAACCAUCUUUAAAAAUUCCGUCAGCUAAGCGUAAAUUAUAUGGCUUUCCCCCUUUUCUGCCCAUCCGCUGGAGUGGGGGUUCGAUGGUUCCAUCGUAACGGAUGAUCCUAAGUAGGUAAAUUCGGUCGGGCCGACGUUCGUCGCCAUAAACACGGUUUCCAAACCGUUUUGUAUUCGUCGAUUCUCUUUGGCCCUACACGUGCAGGAUUUAAAAUACGCGUACGGUUAGCCUGGCCAUCGAAAACUCGAAAAAUGUUUUUUUUUUUUCUUUGUCGACAGAUGAUGCCACUUUCCACUCGAUAAGAGUACUAAAUAGCGGGGUCGAAACCGGCUGCCUACCC
RNAcentral lists this long non-coding RNA (1204 nucleotides) under Androctonus crassicauda. The record is from RNAcentral. Lineage: Eukaryota; Metazoa; Arthropoda; Arachnida; Scorpiones; Buthidae.